Molecule: ribosomal RNA, 486 nt
Filed under: uncultured bacterium
Lineage: Bacteria
Description: partial 16S ribosomal RNA
Rfam family: Bacterial small subunit ribosomal RNA
Source: RNAcentral
AUUGAACGCUGGCGGCAUGCCUUACACAUGCAAGUCGAACGGCAGCACGGGUGCUUGCACCUGGUGGCGAGUGGCGAACGGGUGAGUAAUACAUCGGAACAUGUCCUGUAGUGGGGGAUAGCCCGGCGAAAGCCGGAUUAAUACCGCAUACGAUCUACGGAUGACAGCGGGGGACCUUCGGGCCUCGCGCUAUAGGGUUGGCCGAUGGCUGAUUAGCUAGUUGGUGGGGUAAAGGCCUACCAAGGCGACGAUCAGUAGCUGGUCUGAGAGGACGACCAGCCACACUGGGACUGAGACACGGCCCAGACUCCUACGGGAGGCAGCAGUGGGGAAUUUUGGACAAUGGGCGAAAGCCCGAUCCAGCAAUGCCGCGUGUGUGAAGAAGGCCUUCGGGUUGUAAAGCACUUUUGUCCGGAAAGAAAUCCUUGGCCCUAAUACGGUCGGGGGAUGACGGUACCGGAAGAAUAAGCACCGGCUAACUACGUG